GUCAUUUCACAGCUUAGCUUUCUAAAUGUCUCUUUGUUUAUCAAGUCUUUAGGGUGGAGUAAGCUCUGUGCACUUACAAAUUGCUAAAGCAGUGUUCCAUGUCAUGAAUGGGACCGACUCGGUCUUAUCUGUUGUUUUUCAUAUACAAAUCGGACAGAAUCCGUUCGCGUUUUGCUCCUUGAGCUCUGUCGGCAUUGUGUCUACAGAUGUGUCUGUGUGUGGACGUGUGCCUGGGCACUCCCGGCGGCUGCUGGGCCAGCAGCUGCGAGCAGUUGUGAGCGUGGCUCGCCUACUUGGAGACCGCUUGUGUUUGAGGGAAAACUCAGCCUUUACCGCUGAGCUCCACCGGAGCCGUGAGGAGACGCUCUCCUCCAUGACGAGCGCGGCGAUGGAAGCCGCAUUUCGCACCCCUGCUUUGACCACAAGCAGACGGCCCCCUCCACCCUCCCCAGGACUCGAGGGCGAGCUGUGCGCGUCCCUGGGGGCCGGGGGCUGCCCCCCGGUGUCCCCUCACACCCACCCCUCAACCCCCGCUCCGCCCGCGCCCUCCUGCCGCGGGGGGCCGCUGUGCGCGGCGGGGCGGCGCCGCCGAAGGUUGCGGCCGUUGCCUAGCGAGGCGCUGUCACCAGCAGCGCGGGCGGCCCAGGCGCGGCCCGCCGGCCCCUCAGCCCGCCCGGAGGCUGCCUCCCGCCGCCCGGAGCAGGAUUUCAGGCUCUUGCAAAGCCUCCUUGACUGAGAAUCAGCAAGAGAAGAGCAGAAGAUGUGUUUGGGAUCCGGCAGCAUUUGAUACCCAUCGAGGCUUUGGAGUGUUUCUGGUAGACAUUUGUAAAGAAAUCCUAUUCGAUGCUUCUUCUUGUGCUUCAGAAUUAAUCCGUGGGGGGCAGUAUAAGGAGCCAUGGUUGCUGAAAUAUAUAACUAAUAAAAAAUAGUUCCAUAUGGGCAUAAACAGACGGAUUAAAAUCAGAGGAAUGCUUGGUGUGUAGUAAUCACAACUAUUUAAAAUCAUACCCCCCAUGUAAGCAACACGACAGCUUUCUGUGCUUCUGAAAUUCUAAAUACUUGGCCCUUGUAAGCAGAAGAUGGCUUUCAAGCACGUGUGUGUCUAUAGGUAUUAAUUCCGGAUAAAAAGGUUUUUUUGAAUAAUUUCUGUUGCCUAUGCAUCGGUACUGUAGCAGUGAGAAAAUAAGGUUCAUUGUAAGUCUAUGCUUUAUCAAGAGUUCAUUAACAAGAUCUUACAAUAUUGUUGCUUCAUCCGGCAGUAUAACGUCCAAACAGAAAGUCUGACCACUUUCAGACCAAAGGUUAAGUCUGCUAGCUUAGAAGGUAAUAGAAGCAAAAUUAGUUUCUGCACUGGUUUAACAGUUGUUAACAUAUCUGCUUUUUUAUCACAGUUCCUUUCCAGGGUGUAAUGUUGCUUAUGUGCAUCACUCUUCAUGCUGAUAAAUAUUUUAAAUUACAAACAAACUUUGAUUAUCAUACUUAUCCACUUAUCCAAAGCAUAGAGAAGCAUAACUAGAAACAUGGGAAAAUGAUAUGCAUAAAAGCAACAGACAAAUGCAGCAAGCAUAAUUUAGGUGAUUUAAAAUGUAAGGAUUUGGACCUAAGAAAUAUUCUGCCAAAAGUCUGUAAAAGUUGGUUUUAUUAUUUACUGAACUAUAAAAUACAAAGUUUAGAAAUGUAAAUUUUGCACAGUGCAGAUGACACACGAUGUGAAAGUAAGCAAGUCACUAUCACAUUCCUUCAGAGACUGAUGACGUCUAGUUGCAUGAUAAAUGUGCCUUAGGGAGGCUGUGGUAAGCUCUCAUAGGACUAACAUGAAGAUCAGUGUUUGCCUUGUGGCAAGCAGGUGUUGGAAUAAUUCGUUAAGUUUUCCUUUAAGAGCACUGUGUAAAAACAAUAAGGCUAUGCAAAGGAAUAGUAAAUGUUGUGAAAUAAAAGGAAGCUGAUUAUGCUAGGUGAAAGGCCACAAUCUCCUUUAAGCACCUGCAAGAACAACUGCAAAAAUGCUGAUGUUUAUAAAGUAGCCUGCUGGGACUAUAAUGAAGAUGUCAAAACCUCAGGCGGGCAGCCUUUCUUUAGUCCCCUUAAACCAUCUGUGGAUAAUGUGUGGAGGGGGGGAUGAUCUCACAAACCAUGUAAUCACAAAUUUCGUGUCUUUUAGUCUCUUAAAACAAAUAUAAAAACAAAGAUCAAAGCCACCAUCUAGACUGUGCUGAUUGACUUUUUGAAGAACAGCCCAAAGCUAGCAUAAGCAAGCACUCAGAGUUCUAAACAAUCAGUAUCAAAAAAGACUAAACAAGAACAUGUUUAUCUACCAAAUAUCUUCUUGUAUCCUUUUUCUGUUUAAAUCUUCAGCCAGCUGGACAUUCAAUUUAUUGAAAGCAUGCCUUCAUUUACUAAGAACAUGAGUAUAUUCUUAUGGAUAUGAAAAUAUAUAUUUAUAGACAAAGUAGAGAGAAAAUACAUAUUAAGCUGUACAUAAAAUGAGGCAAAUGGCUGAGAAAAUAUGUACUCAGGCAAUGCAUCAGCUGGUUAUCUUUAUUUUUUCUUUUUUUUCUUUCUUUUUUUUUUUUUUAAAUGGGAAGUUUUUAUUACAACUUAUUACAUAGCUUGUAAAGUAAUGUAAAAUCUCUGAUGUAAAGUCUUAUAUUUCAUAUUGAAAUGCAAAGAACCUGGAAUUAAAACUACCACUUAAAGAUGAUAUUUUUAUGGAAACUUGAAUCCUAUCACUGUUUUUGAUUCGAAGUGUUCUGAAUCAUUAUUUCUCAUAAUUACAUGCAAAUUAACAUCUCAUAUGAACACAUGGAUUUCUAUUUUAUUUCAUUAAGAGACAGAAAAUAGCAAUCACAAACAAAAAGUAACUGAACUCUUUCCAAAGUCUGAAAGUCUACAGACAAAAUUUGCUUUGGUCUUUCAAUAACCCAAGCACUUGCCCAAAUUUUUAAUCUUUCUGGAUCCUGCUUCUCUGCAAGUCUUCCAAUGUUUUUGCUAGACAUAGCCUGAUUUCAUAUGGCAAUAAAUAUUUAAAACAAGAACAGACCCAAAAGCACAGAUUUCCUGCAACAGACACCGAGAUUUAACUCUGAGUUUUUCACUAAUCCAGGAGCUCCAAUCGUCAAAAAUAAUUUACAGCCUUUUUUGUCUUGGUCCCUCAUUAGCUAUGCUAAAUGUCCUUGGCAUCAAGAAAUGAAGUAGCCAUUUGCUCACUGUAGUAUCCUUUGAAUGGCUGUAAACCAGUAACAUCAGGAAAGGUACUGCUUUGCCUCAUUAGAUUUAUUGAACUAGCAGGGAACCAUUCUGUUGCAUGACUGAAGUCACUAUUUGACUAAGUAAACAUUUAAUGUAUUUUAACUAAUGUUUCAUGCCUACUCACAGCUUACAACUAUUGCAACUAUAUAUUUCAGCCAUUUUCCUUUUUUUUCCAUAACUGCCUCUGAUUUUCUUCAGUCUAAACAAGACAAACUAUAAAAAGGUCUUGCUCUGCCAAACUGCCAACCUGCAUUGGUAAUUUACAUAUUAAUAAUUACAUACAUAAAAGAGUAAAGCAUUACUUAGCACAAUUCAUUAACAAAAAGCAGUUUGCAUGUUGCCAGAGUUGAACAUCACACAAGAAUUGCAAGACCUGUCGCCUUUACAUUAAUAUGCAAUGCAGGACUUCAGCAGGUGCUCUACCUCCUGAAAUCAUUUUCAUGAACAAUUCGUCAUGAAAAGUAUUCUGAUGGAAAUAUAAUUUGCAAUAGAGACCAGUGAAAAAAUCAGAUGUUGUCUCUGGCAACUGUACCAAAAUUUCCAGUCACUUGUAUGGGUCAAAAAAAAAAUUAAAUCCAGUUCCAUACCCUCACGUCAAAUAAAAAGAUAAACUUAUUAAGUACUGUCCAUAAGGAUAUGAGUGUUUUUAUCUGCUUUUCAUGAAAAACAAAGAAAGAAAAACACACGCACCCUAUCCCAAAGUAUCACCUCUCCUAAGGCUUGAAAUUUGCUUUUAAUUGAAGUUUUAACACAUCUGUGCUCCAUUCCUACCUCAUCUCUGUGUGCCAAUGGUGUCCAUACAGAAAUACAUACUUCAUAAGAGAAAAAGAAAGAUGAUGACAGUUCCCUUGAUCAAUUUUUAGCAGGCUCCUCUAGGCAGCUGUAGCUUUAAUCCCAGAGUCAGAAAUUAAGACUAAAUCUGUGAAGAAGUGCAUUAAACAAAUUUCACCCACUAUGAGGGUGGUGAGGCAGUGGUACAGGCUGCCCAGAGGAGCUGUGGGUGCCCCAUCCCUGGAAGUGCCCAAGGCCAGGCUGGAUGGGACUUUGAGCAACCUGGUCUGGUGGGAGGUGUCCCUGCCCAUGGCAGAAGGGGUGGAACCAGGUGGUUUUAAGGGCCCUUCCAAUGCAAACCAUUCUGUGAUUCUAUGAAUUGUUGGAACUGUACUGUAGCAUUCCAGCCAAGCUUUGUGUACUGGGUACACAUGGUAAGGGUUUGGCUGCAGGGGUGAGCAGAGCCCAGCAGCUGCCUCAUGUCAGAGCAGAGCUAGCUCCGGCCGGCUCCAAAAGGUUCUGGCUGCUGGCCAGAGCUGAGCCAGAAAGUUUAAAUCACGAAUUUAAACUUUCCACUUACCACAGCAAACUUCUAUGUAUGUCACCUCUUGGUUGCUUAGAUCUCUUCCUGAUGCACAGUAGCGCAAGGCUCAAUUUUAAAAAGUCCCUUAUUAGGAAACCAGGAUGAAUGUGACAAGGAGGGAACAGUUUAUCACUUCAUUCUUUCUCUAACUAUCUCCCAUUCUUCACUUCUAGGGCAGGACGCUCAAUUCACUAUAAGCAGUAAAAAAAAAAAAAAAAAAAAAGGCAACAGGCUGUAGCCACCAGGAAAAAAACAGCUAUGAUGGAAAGCCUUCAAGGUAAAUCAUUAGCUCCUAGACCUUUUUAAGUCCAGUCAACUGAUCUCGUCAUAAAAUGAAGAUGAAAGACAUGGUCAAUACAAAUUCAGAAAAUGGUAGAACAAUCUGUUUCUUCAGACACAGAACGUCUGCAUCCAGCUAGUUUGCAAGUAAUCCGAUGUGCACAGGAGGAUCAGGUGGCGCAGUCAGUUUACUGCAAUACCACUUUUCUCAACUUAUAACUUUGUAAGUGCCUUGUUUUAUCUCUGCUUGUCAAGCCUUUUGUACCAGGUAUGUUUUUGUACCGUGCCUUCUGCCUAUUCAGGAGAAAGCAGAAUGAUAAGGACAAUAUGCUUGCUUGCCUACUGCAUGCUACAGUAGACAAAUCAUGGAAACCUUAAACAUGGAAGUUAAAAUUUUCAUGAACGUCUUAAAAACAAUAAUAGGAAACUUCUUUAAUAGUUGCUAUGAUCAAUCUAAGCACAACUUUUAAUUUCCAGACCACUUGUUUUCAAUUUUUCAUUUCUAGACUAUGUCUUUCUAACUGUGGGAUGGGAAGUGGACAAUAAAAUUAAAAAGAAU
This is a non-coding RNA of Anas platyrhynchos (mallard), 5441 nucleotides long. The record is from RefSeq and is a predicted model, not a curated record. NCBI's taxonomy places the organism in Eukaryota, Metazoa, Chordata, Aves, Anseriformes, Anatidae.